Molecule: transfer RNA, 61 nt
Filed under: Andrena avulsa
Lineage: Eukaryota; Metazoa; Arthropoda; Insecta; Hymenoptera; Andrenidae
Description: tRNA-Leu
Source: RNAcentral
UAUGGCAGAAUAGUGCAAUGGAUUUAAACCCCAUAUAUAAAAUUAAAAAUUUUUAUUAAAA